Molecule: transfer RNA, 72 nt
Filed under: Manacus vitellinus (golden-collared manakin)
Lineage: Eukaryota; Metazoa; Chordata; Aves; Passeriformes; Pipridae
Rfam family: tRNA
About the family: Transfer RNA (tRNA) molecules are approximately 80 nucleotides in length. Their secondary structure includes four short double-helical elements and three loops (D, anti-codon, and T loops).
Source: Rfam by way of RNAcentral
CCCCUGGUGGUCUAGCGGUUAGGAUGCGGCGCUCUCACCGCUGUGGCCUGGGUUGGAUUUCCGGUCAGGGAA